RNAcentral lists this ribosomal RNA (834 nucleotides) under Triticum aestivum (bread wheat). RNAcentral describes it as "partial small subunit ribosomal RNA". The record is from RNAcentral. Lineage: Eukaryota; Viridiplantae; Streptophyta; Magnoliopsida; Poales; Poaceae.
AUGGCCGAUUUCAAAGUAGAAAUAGAUGUUCAGUCCUACUUGACGAUUGAAGACGGCAAAAGAGUUUACAGAAGGGGCAAAACAUGGGAUUUCAUGGUCGGUCGGGACUUGUCUGUGGCGCGGAUAAAGGAGGUUGUGGAGGAGAAGUUCAAGUGGUCUCCUGAUCAAAGAAUGACCAUUUGGUAUGGAACAGGAUAUAACACCAUCCCAUUGUUCUCUGAAUCAGAGAUAGCUGAAUUGUUUGAUAGGUGUUCUAACACGAAAAUAGUGAGGUUUGGUGUGACCAUUAAGAACAAACAGCAACACAAGGAACAAGCUCCUAUCAUGGCCGAGGAUAUGGAUGAUCAACCUAUUCAUGCUCCAUUCUUUGCUUGGCCGAAGCAAGCCUAUGAAGGCGAGUAUGAGGAUGAUGAGCCUGUAGGAUGCGGUGAGGAGAACACCUAUUUGCACGAGAAUGCGGAGUCAAAGGAGAAUGCAAAGUCAAAGGAGAAAAAUGUCGAGCCAAAGGCUGCAAGAGUACCACUGGGAACACUAGAUGUUGACAACUCUUAUGAUCCACAUCAUGUGCGAGGGGAUGAUGAGACAUUACUCGCAAACAAUGUGGCUCCUACUUAUCUCCACGAUAAAAAAAAUCCUCGAAUCGAAGUAGGAGCCACAUUUCCUAACUCCAAAGCAUUUAGAGUUGCAUUGAGACAACUAGCAAUUAGAGAAGAUUGGUCUUUUGACACGCAAUAUAGUGACACUAAAAGAUCCAGGGCUAGUUGCACCGAUGAGGAUUGUCCAUGGAGGGUACAUGCCUCCAAGUUACCGAACACUAACACUUUCAUGGUAUGA